CAAUGGGCGCAGCCUGAUCCAGCCAUGCCCGCGUGUGUGAAGAAGGCCUGUCGGGUUGUAAAGCACUUUCAGUUGUGAAGAAAAGCUUGGGGAUAAUACCCCCGAGUCUUGACGUUACCUUUAGAAGAAGCACCGGCUAACUCUGUGCCAGCAGCCGCGGUAAUAC
This 166-nucleotide ribosomal RNA is filed under the name bacterium enrichment culture clone 5/05bandI. RNAcentral describes it as "partial 16S ribosomal RNA". It matches the Rfam family "Bacterial small subunit ribosomal RNA", at positions 369 to 526 of the family's 1533-position model. The record is from RNAcentral.